This 723-nucleotide long non-coding RNA is filed under the name Triticum aestivum (bread wheat). RNAcentral's name for it is "long non-coding RNA (TAES_LNC017860)". The record is from RNAcentral. Lineage: Eukaryota; Viridiplantae; Streptophyta; Magnoliopsida; Poales; Poaceae.
UUUUUUUUUGUCCUAGUUUUUUUGUUUCUUGUUGCUGCAUUAUGUAUUUAUAGGAGCUUAGAUGUGACAUCCUUAAAAAAACAUCUAGAUGUGAAUUAGUCAAACUGAACAUGAAAUGUGCUCCACGCAAGUGAAGAGUGAAUUAAAUGUGUUCAUGCCUGAGAGCUGCAUAGUGGAGUGGAGCGGAGCGGAGUACAAUAAAAUUAAUACAAAUCGGAACUCCCAAUGGAGGGCAUCUCGAGAUCUCCAAACUCCCACUGCGUGCUUGCUAGCUGGACAACAAGGCUGGUAGUACUACUAGUAUAGCAGAAUGUAAUUCCGGUAGUGAUAGAUUAAUCUCGAGUCAAACCCAAGUAAUCUUGUGUAACCUGCCACCACCCAGACCCAGGCACCCACCCUGAUUGAUUGGUUACCAACACGGAGUAACAAAUCGGAAUUGCGAACUGAAAUGAGGAAACAAAAGUAGAAAUGCGCAAUCCAGAAGAAGUGAUAUUGAUUUCGCAAAAAAAAAGCGAUAUUGGUCUCUGGCAAGCUGUAACAACUAGGGAUUCGACGAUGGUGAUUUCGAGCUGAUCAUGCUGUUAUCUCCUUUUUUUCCGGGUUUUACAGAUAUGGGCAGAGGCCAGAGGGAUCUAUCUAUGUCUGGAUCCUAACUCAGCUGCAGUAGCUCCUUUUCCCGGCGAGGUGGCCGGCGGCGGGCUGAGAAGAGGUCAGAUGGGGGGG